AGCGGCGGACGGCUGAGUAACACGUAGGAACGUACCCCAAAGUGAGGCAUAAGCAUCAGAAAUGGUGUCUAAUACCGCAUGUGAUCUUCGGAUUAAAGCUUCGGCGCUUUGGGAACGGCCUGCGCAUGAUUAGCUUGUUGGUGAGGUAAAAGCUCACCAAGGCGACGAUCAUUAGCUGGUCUGAGAGGAUGAUCAGCCAGACUGGGACUGAGAACGGCCCAGACUCCUACGGGAGGCAGCAGUAGGGAAUUUUCCACAAUGGGCGAAAGCCUGAUGGAGCAACGCCGCGUGCAGGAUGAAGGCUUUCGGGUCGUAAACUGCUUUUAUAUGUGACGAUUAUGACGGUAGCAUAUGAAUAAGGAUCGGCUAACUCCGUGCCAGCAGCCGCGGUCAUACGGAGGAUCCAAGCGUUAUCCGGAAUUACUGGGCGUAAAGAGUUGCGUAGGUGGCAUUGUAAGUUGGUAGUGAAAGCGUUCGGCUCAACCGGAUACACAUUAUCAAAACUGCAAAGCUAGAGGAUGAGAGAGGUUAUUGGAAUUCCUAGUGUAGGAGUGAAAUCCGUAGAUAUUAGGAGGAACACCGAUGGCGUAGGCAGAUAACUGGCUCAUUCCUGACACUAAGGCACGAAAGCGUGGGUAGCAAAC
RNAcentral lists this ribosomal RNA (644 nucleotides) under uncultured bacterium. RNAcentral describes it as "bacterial SSU rRNA". It matches the Rfam family "Bacterial small subunit ribosomal RNA", at positions 94 to 773 of the family's 1533-position model. The record is from RNAcentral.